Molecule: unclassified non-coding RNA, 1966 nt
Filed under: uncultured Bordetella sp.
Lineage: Bacteria; Pseudomonadati; Pseudomonadota; Betaproteobacteria; Burkholderiales; Alcaligenaceae
Description: partial 16S-23S ribosomal RNA intergenic spacer
Rfam family: Bacterial small subunit ribosomal RNA (bases 480-1966)
Source: RNAcentral
UACGGGACGCAGCAGUGGGGAAUUUUGGACAAUGGGGGCCACAGUCCAGCCAUCCCGCGUGUGCAUUGAAGGCCUUCGGGUUGUAAAGCACUUUUGGCAGGAAAGACGGCACGGGAUAAUAUCCCGUGCAACUGACAGUACCUGCAGAAUAAGCACCGGCUAACUACGUGCGGCCGCGGUAUACGUAAGUUUAAGCGUUAAUCGGAAUUACUGGGCGUAAAGCGUGCGCAGGCGGUUCGGAAAAAAUGUGAAAUCCCAGAGCUUAACUUUGGAACUGCAUUUUUAACUACCGAGCUAGAGUGUGUCAGAGGAGGUGGAAUUCCGCGUGUAGCAGUGAAAUGCGUAGAUAUGCGGAGGAACACCGAUGGCGAAGGCGGCCUCCUCUGGAUAUUCUGUGCUCAUGCACAACGUGGGGAGCAAACCGGAUUGAAUGCCAGGUAGUCCCUGUUACUGAUGCUCCCAGGCCGGAACAUCAGGUAGUAACAGAGAGUUCGAUCAUGGCUCAGAUUGAACGCUGGCGGAUGUUUACAUGCAAGUCCGGGCAGCACGGACUUCGGUCUGGUGGCGAGUGGCGAACGGGUGGUAAUGGCGGAACGUGCCUAGUAGCGAGGAUAACUACGCGAAAGCGUAGCUAAUACCACUUACGCCCUUCAGAGAAAAGCGGGGGACCUUCGGGCCUCGCACUAUUAAACGGCCGUCUCGGAUUAGCUAGUUGGUGGGGUAACGGCUCACCAAGGCAUUGAUCCGUAAGCUGGUUUGAGAGGACGAUAGCCACACUGGGACUGAGACACGGCCCAGACUCCUACAGGAGGCAGCAGUGGAGAAUUUUUUGGACAAUGGAAACCUGAUCCAUGCAUCCCGCGUGUGCGAUGAGGUAACUUCGGGUUGUAAGCACUUUUGGCAGGAAAGAAACGGCACGGGAUAAUACCCCGUGCAACUGACGAAGUACCUGCAGAAUAAGCACCGGCUAACUGUGCAGCAGCCGCGGUAAUACGUAGGGUGCAAGCGUUAAUCGGAAUUACUGGGCGUAAAGCGUGCGCAGGCGGUUCGGAAAGAAAGAUGUGAAAUCCCAGAGCUUAACUUUGGAACUGCAUUUUUAACUACCGAGCUAGAGAGUGUGUCAGAGGGAGGUGGAAUUCCGCGUGUAGCAGUGAAAUGCGUAGAUAUGCGGAGGAACACCGAUGGCGAAGGCAGCCUCCUGGGAUAACACUGACGCUCAUGCACGAAAGCGUGGGAGCAAACAGGAUUAGAAUGCCCUGGCAGUCCCGCCUAAACGAUGUCAACUAGCUGUGUUGGGGCCUUCGGGCCUUGGUAGCGCAGCUAACGCGUGAAGUUGACCGCCUGGGAGUGAUUCGCAGGAAUUAAAACUCAAAAUUGUGAGGACCCACACAAGCGGUGGAUGAUGUGGAUUAAUUCGAUGCAACGAAAACCACCACCUACGCCUUGACAUGUCUGGAAUCCCGAAGAGAUUUGGGAGUGCUCGCAGAGAACCGGAACACAGGUGCUGCAUGGCUGUCGUCAGCUCGUGUCGUGAGAUGUUGAGUUAAGUCCGCAACGGCGCAACCCUUGUCAUUAGUUGCUACGAAAGGGCACUCUAAUGAGACUGCCGGUGACAAACCGAAGGAGAGAAGGUGGGGAUGACGUCAAGUCCUCAUGGCCCAUAUGGGUAGGGCUUACACGUCAUACAAUGGUCAGGACAGAGGGUCAGCAACCCGCGAAAGAGGGAGCCAAUCCCAGAAACCCGAUCGUAGUCCGGAUCAUGAUCUGCAACUCGACUGCGUGAAGUCAGAAUCGCUAAUUAUCAGCGAGGAUCAGCAUGUCGCGAUGAAUACGUUCCCGGGUCUUGUACACACCCGCCCAUGCACCAUGGGAGUGGGGUUUUACCAGAAGUAGUUAGCCUAACCAGCAAGGAGGGCGAUUACCACGGUAAGUUCAUGACUGGGGUGAAGUCAUGGCGCAAAGGUAG